UACGGAGGGUGCAAGCGUUAAUCGGAGUUACUGGGCGUAAAGGGCGCGUAGGCGGUUAAGUGAGUGUGAUGUGAAAGCCCUGGGCUUAACCCAGGAAUUGCAUCUGAUACUGCUUGGCUUGAGUACGGUAGAGGAGGGUGGAAUUCCCAGUGUAGCGGUGAAAUGCGUAGAUAUUGGGAGGAACACCGGUGGCGAAGGCGGCCCUCUGGACCGAAACUGACACUGAAGCGCGAAAGCUAGGGGAGCAAACGGG
Molecule: ribosomal RNA, 253 nt
Filed under: uncultured bacterium
Lineage: Bacteria
Description: partial 16S ribosomal RNA
Rfam family: Bacterial small subunit ribosomal RNA
Source: RNAcentral